RNAcentral lists this long non-coding RNA (204 nucleotides) under Linum usitatissimum (flax). RNAcentral's name for it is "long non-coding RNA (LUSI_LNC000052)". Lineage: Eukaryota; Viridiplantae; Streptophyta; Magnoliopsida; Malpighiales; Linaceae. The record is from RNAcentral.
GAGGAGUAGUUUACGGAGGAAUUCGCUUGGGAGUCGGUCUAGAUCGUUCACUGCAUCGGCGAUUUCCGAUUCUGAGAUUCUUAGCAAUGAGUACAAGAAAAUGUACGCCAUUUAGAGAGGCACACUACUACUAUAGUCUAGUACAUAAAAGAUAUUGUUGAAAAAGGGUUUCAUUCAUCUCGAAACUGUGGGUUGUUACGGUAG